Molecule: long non-coding RNA, 464 nt
Filed under: Zostera marina
Lineage: Eukaryota; Viridiplantae; Streptophyta; Magnoliopsida; Alismatales; Zosteraceae
Description: long non-coding RNA (ZMAR_LNC003811)
Source: RNAcentral
AGAGUCAAGGGAAACCUAUAGUAAGAGCAUGCAUCAUGAUCUUCGGUCAAUCCGACUUUCUAGAAGCGAUCAGAACGAGAAUAAAGGGGAGACGAGGCAUGAGGAAACAACAAUAACGAUUAAUUACAUAGCGGCAAGAAACUAUGGUGUAAGAGAUGUCGGAGGUUCGGUCAUUGGUUGAAUGGAUGGAUAGGAAGGAGCUGUUAAAAUCCCGUCCUGGAGGUCGUGGUGAUGAUGACAAUCGACGGGAAGGACUCCGGCAAGAAAUCAGCAGGAGAUUGGGGUGAUUUCGAUUAGGGAUUUUCGCCCAAGCAGUUUGGGAAAAAACCUAACGUUUAACGGAUAGAAUGAAGAAGAAAAGAAAGAGGGAAAAGAGGGAAAUGCAAUUUGCGCUAAUUACCAAGAAAUGUAAUUAACUGGAUGUAAUUAAAUUAAUUUCUUAUUCAUAAUACAUUGUCUUAUAU